AUUGAACGCUGGCGGAAUGCUUUACACAUGCAAGUCGAGCGGCAGCGCGGGGCAACCUGGCGGCGAGCGGCGAACGGGUGAGUAAUGCAUCGGAACAUGUCCAUGUCGUGGGGGAUAGCCCGGCGAAAGCCGGAUUAAUACCGCAUACGCCCGAGAGGGGAAAGUGGGGGACCGCAAGGCCUCACGCGAUUGGGUUGGCCGAUGUCCGAUUAGCUAGUUGGCGGGGUAAAGGCCCACCAAGGCGAUGAUCGGUAGCUGGUCUGAGAGGAUGAUCAGCCACACUGGGACUGAGACACGGCCCAGACUCCUACGGGAGGCAGCAGUGGGGAAUUUUGGACAAUGGGGGCAACCCUGAUUCAGCUAUUCCGCGUGGGUGAAGAAGGCCUUCGGGUUGUAAAGCUCUUUUGUCCGGAACGAAACGGUUACGGUGAAUACCCGUGACUACUGACGGUACCGGAAGAAUAAGCACCGGCUAACUACGUGCCAGCCGCCGCGGUAA
Molecule: ribosomal RNA, 499 nt
Filed under: uncultured bacterium
Lineage: Bacteria
Description: partial 16S ribosomal RNA
Rfam family: Bacterial small subunit ribosomal RNA
Source: RNAcentral